GACGUAGGGUGCGAGCGUUGUCCGGAUUUAUUGGGCGUAAAGAGCUCGUAGGCGGCUCGUCGCGUCGACCGUGAAAACCCGCGGCUUAACUGCGGGCUUGCGGUUGAUACGGGCGGGCUAGAGUUCGGUAGGGGAGACUGGAAUUCCUGGUGUAGCGGUGAAGUGCGCAGAUAUCAGGAGGAACACCGGUGGCGAAGGCGGGUCUCUGGGCCGAUACUGACGCUGAGGAGCGAAAGCGUGGGGAGCGAACAGG
Molecule: ribosomal RNA, 253 nt
Filed under: uncultured bacterium
Lineage: Bacteria
Description: partial 16S ribosomal RNA
Rfam family: Bacterial small subunit ribosomal RNA
Source: RNAcentral